This 495-nucleotide ribosomal RNA is filed under the name uncultured bacterium. RNAcentral describes it as "partial 16S ribosomal RNA". It matches the Rfam family "Bacterial small subunit ribosomal RNA", at positions 29 to 506 of the family's 1533-position model. The record is from RNAcentral.
AUGAACGCUGGCGGCGUGCCUAAUACCUGCCAGUCGAGCGAACAGACGAGGAGCUUGCUCCUCUGACGUUAGCGGCGGACGGGUGAGUAACACGUGGAUAACCUACCUAUAAGACUGGGAUAACUUCGGGAAACCGGAGCUAAUACCGGAUAAUAUAUUGAACCGCAUGGUUCAAUAGUGAAAGACGGUUUUGCUGUCACUUAUAGAUGGAUCCGCGCCGCAUUAGCUAGUUGGUAAGGUAACGGCUUACCAAGGCAACGAUGCGUAGCCGACCUGAGAGGGUGAUCGGCCACACUGGAACUGAGACACGGUCCAGACUCCUACGGGAGGCAGCAGUAGGGAAUCUUCCGCAAUGGGCGAAAGCUUGACGGAGCAACGCCGCGUGAGUGAUGAAGGUCUUCGGAUCGUAAAACUCUGUUAUUAGGGAAGAACAAAUGUGUAAGUAACUAUGCACGUCUUGACGGUACCUAAUCAGAAAGCCACGGCUAACUACGU